AUGGCCGGCGCGGGAUCCUCGUCGGGCGGGUCGGGCGGCGGCGGGGGCCGGGAGGGCGACUGGGACUGCGGCGGCUGCGGCAACCGCAACUACGCCUUCCGCUCCCUGUGCAACCGCUGCAAGCAGCCGCGCCUCCUCGUCGACCCCAACACCCCGCGCGACUCCAAGUGGCUCCCCCGCGCCGGCGACUGGAUCUGCAACGGUUGCAGUAACAAUAAUUAUGCAUCCAGAAAGAACUGCAAGAAGUGCAACCUGCCCAAGGAGGAAGCAGCGAUGCCGCAGUUAUCAAUGGGAGGAAUGAUGCCAGCCUAUGCAGAUUAUAUGGCCAGGGUACAGGAGAUUGCCAAUGCUGGGUAUAAGAUGAACUUUGGCAAUCCAGCUAUGCAGCAGCAGCUACUUGCAAAUGCAAACUGGCCCUAUGGGAUGGCUGGUAGAUAUGGUAUGCAGUCGUCUGCUUGGCCAUUCGCCGGCAACAGCACAAAUCAGUUUCAAGGUGUUCCAAAGGACUGGCGUAGUGGUGACUGGCUCUGCAGCUGUGGAUUCCAUAACUACUCAUCUCGUGCUCAGUGCAAAGAGUGUAAUGCACCUGUCCCAUCAGGCAUGGCCUCUACAACCAUGAAAUCCACAGGAGCAGAUAGUUCUUCAACAUUAGGUAAUAAGCGCUUGGCAUCAGAGGAGCUUGCCAAUGACUGGGAUAAUAAAAGGCUAAAUCCUGGACAUGCUAAUUAUCCACUUUCAGCAGCAGGCUCAGAUAAUUUAUUUAUGGGUCAAGGUGCUGGAAACAAUAAUGGCCAGACAACUUAUUCUGCAUAUGACAAUGGAAACUCAAUGGCAUCUGGACAAAUUCCAGGGAUGUCUGGUGUAGUUGGCAAAGGAGCUAAAUGGCGUGAAGGAGACUGGUUGUGCACCAACUGCAGCAAUCAUAAUUACGCAUCUCGUGCAUUUUGUAACAGAUGCAAAACUGCGAAAGAGUCUUCAGUUCAUCCGGGGGCGCUAUAA
RNAcentral lists this ribosomal RNA (999 nucleotides) under Triticum aestivum (bread wheat). Its description in RNAcentral is "partial small subunit ribosomal RNA". The record is from RNAcentral. Lineage: Eukaryota; Viridiplantae; Streptophyta; Magnoliopsida; Poales; Poaceae.